GGACCUGACCGCUAUCGGAUUGAUACUAAGCCAUGCGAGUCAUUGUAGCAAUACAAGGCAUACGGCUCAGUAACGCGUAGUCAACCUAACCUAUGGACGGGAAUAACCUCGGGAAACUGAGAAUAAUGCCCGAUAGAGCAUUAUGCCUGGAAUGGUUUAUGUUCCAAAUGAUUUAUCGCCGUAGGAUGGGACUGCGGCCUAUCAGUUUGUUGGUGAGGUAAUGGCCCACCAAGACUAUUACAGGUACGGGCUCUGAGAGGAGUAGCCCGGAGAUGGGUACUGAGACACGGACCCAGGCCCUAUGGGGCGCAGCAGGCGAGAAAACUUUGCAAUGUGCGAAAGCACGACAAGGUUAAUCCGAGUGGUUUCUGCUAAAGAAACCUUUUGUCAGUCCUAGAAACACUGAUGAAUAAGGGGUGGGCAAGUUCUGGUGU
RNAcentral lists this ribosomal RNA (434 nucleotides) under uncultured archaeon. RNAcentral's name for it is "bacterial SSU rRNA". It matches the Rfam family "Archaeal small subunit ribosomal RNA", at positions 19 to 458 of the family's 1478-position model. The record is from RNAcentral.